RNAcentral lists this ribosomal RNA (253 nucleotides) under uncultured bacterium. RNAcentral describes it as "partial 16S ribosomal RNA". It matches the Rfam family "Bacterial small subunit ribosomal RNA", at positions 524 to 776 of the family's 1533-position model. The record is from RNAcentral.
UACGAAGGGGGCUAGCGUUGUUCGGAAUCACUGGGCGUAAAGCGCACGUAGGCGGAUUGUUAAGUCGGGGGUGAAAUCCUGAGGCUCAACCUCAGAACUGCCUUCGAUACUGGCAAUCUCGAGUCCGGAAGAGGUUGGUGGAACAGCUAGUGUAGAGGUGAAAUUCGUAGAUAUUAGCCAGAACACCAGUGGCGAAGGCGGCCAACUGGUCCGGUACUGACGCUGAGGUGCGAAAGCGUGGGGAGCAAACAGG